This 460-nucleotide ribosomal RNA is filed under the name uncultured bacterium. Its description in RNAcentral is "partial 16S ribosomal RNA". It matches the Rfam family "Bacterial small subunit ribosomal RNA", at positions 338 to 795 of the family's 1533-position model. The record is from RNAcentral.
CCUACGGGUGGCUGCAGUGAGGAAUAUUGGUCAAUGGACGAAAGUCUGAACCAGCCAAGUCGCGUGAAGGAUGACUGUCCUAUGGGUUGUAAACUUCUUUUAUAAGGGAAUAAAACGAGGCACGUGUGCCUUUUUGCAUGUACUUUAUGAAUAAGGAUCGGCUAACUCCGUGCCAGCAGCCGCGGUAAUACGGAGGAUUCGAGCGUUAUCCGGAUUUAUUGGGGUUAAAGGGGGCGUAGACGGGUUGUUAAGUCAGUGGGGAAAGUUUGCGGCUCAACCGUAGAAUUGCAGUUGAGACUGGCGGUCUUGAGUAUAGUUGAGGCAGGCGGAAUUCGUGGUGUAGCGGUGAAAUGCUUAGAUAUCACGAAGAACCCCGAUUGCGAAGGCAGCUUACUAAGCUGUGACUGACGUUGAUGCUCGAAAGUGUGGGUAUCAAACAGGAUUAGAUACCCGGGUAGUC